CUGCUGGAGCAGGGCGCGCACAGCAUGGCGGAAGCGGAAGGGAGCUACCCGUUCCUGUUGCCACCGCCUCCACCGCCCCCGCCCGGAAUGGCGGAAGUGGAGGUGGCGACGGCGGCCGAGACGGACAAGAAGCAGGUCAGCUGCUCCGGCGGGGGCGCCAUGGACGUGGAGCGGAGCCGCUUCCCCUACUGUGUAGUGUGGACGCCCAUCCCGGUGCUCACGUGGUUUUUCCCCAUCAUCGGCCACAUGGGCAUCUGCACAUCCACAGGAGUCAUUCGGGACUUUGCUGGCCCCUACUUUGUCUCGGAAGACAACAUGGCCUUUGGGAAGCCUGCCAAGUACUGGAAGUUGGACCCUGCUCAGGUAUAUUCUAGUGGACCCAACGCAUGGGACACAGCUGUACACGACGCCUCUGAGGAGUACAAGCACCGCAUGCACAGUCUCUGCUGUGACAACUGCCACUCACAUGUGGCAUUGGCCUUGAACCUGAUGCGCUACAACAAUAGCACCAACUGGAACAUGGUGACGCUAUGCUUCUUCUGCCUGCUGUAUGGGAAGUACGUCAGACUGAAGUUCCUAGUGCCUUCCUGGAGACUUCCUCAGAGGCAGGGCUGAUUGUGGAUGGAGGCAGUGAAGAUGGAGAACAGCCACGUCUCCUGUGCCCACCCAGCAAGUGUCGGGGCAUUCGUGAAGACCUGGCUCCCCUUCACCCUUCUCCUGGGCAUCAUCCUAACGGCCAGCUUGGUCUUUAACCUGCGGUGAUGACUGCCACAUGGCCCUGUACCCACCAGGCUCCUAAGGAGACAGCUGCCACCCCUUUUGGUUCCAGAUUGUUUCUUCUCACCCCUAAAAGCAGGACGGGCCUGCCGGUUCUGACCCAGGGUCUGAGCUAGGUGGGAUGGGACAAGGGCUGAAGAUGAGCGUGGGCCUGGGGGCUGGGGGUGGGGGUCUGACUGGUCACUCAGAGGCUCCCUGUCCCCUCCUUCCCAGGCUUGUGACCACUGCCCUUGAGGCACACUCUUUGUUCGUCUGUUGGAAAGGCCUCAGCUUCCCUCUGUACAGCUGCUCCUGCCACUGCCUGCUCGGCUCCCCCUGCCUCAGCCCAGUGCCCUGUGAAGGAAGGAGGGCGUCUGGGCCUCUGGGCCCAGGAUGAGUGGGAGAAUAAUGAGUCUCUGUAAGCUAAGCUGCCUGGAGGUCUUCAUCACUGGCCUCUAGAAAGGGCUGGAUGGGCACCCCCUUCAGAGGUCGUCCAGAAGCUACACUAGGGGUAGUUUGUGCCCCAUCUCCUGGCAUCCUCCAGCCCAUGCAGCCCCCACUGCCCGCUCUCCCAAGGCCUCUGAGCACUUGAGUCCAUCUCCCCCUGCAGUUAGGGGCCCUCAGCCAGGCUGGAUAAACCAGUGACUCAGAAAUGUGCAGAGUGACCCACUGUAGACCAGAGCAAUGUAAAUGAAGCUCGGCCCUGGCCCCCACUGUGGGCCUCACGCUGGUGGCCCUCCCUGGGCCCAAGAUGUGGGGGCUGUCAGAGCAGCUCGUGCCGUCAGGGAGCCCAAGGGGAGCCAUUGCCUCGCACCUUCAACAGCUCCCCUGCUCUUCAAGUUGUGGAGAGGGCUGUGCUGCCCCCCUCGCCCCUGCUCCUGUGAUUCCUUUGUGUGGGGCUCCCCAGGCAGGGCAAUAAAGAGUUUUGACUCCA
RNA transcript from Manis pentadactyla (Chinese pangolin), 1690 nucleotides. It is a transcript of the gene named transmembrane protein 222, with no coding region annotated. Lineage: Eukaryota; Metazoa; Chordata; Mammalia; Pholidota; Manidae. The record is from RefSeq and is a predicted model, not a curated record. The transcript has 7 exons.